Molecule: ribosomal RNA, 469 nt
Filed under: uncultured bacterium
Lineage: Bacteria
Description: partial 16S ribosomal RNA
Rfam family: Bacterial small subunit ribosomal RNA
Source: RNAcentral
GACGAACGCUGGCGGCGUGCUUAACACAUGCAAGUCGAACGGAAAGGCCCUGCUUGCAGGGUGCUCGAGUGGCGAACGGGUGAGUAACACGUGGGUGAUCUGCCCCUUACUUUGGGAUAAGCCUGGGAAACUGGGUCUAAUACUGGAUAGGAACAUGCUGUAGGUGGUGUGGUGGAUAGAUUAGUAUCGGUAAGGGAUGAGCUCGCGGCCUAUCAGCUUGUUGGUGGGGUAAUGGCCGACCAAGGCGUCGGAGGGUAGCCGGCCUGAGAGGGUGUAAGGCAAGGUUGGGACUGCGAUACGGCGCAGAAUCCGGCGGGAGGCAGCAGUGGGCAAUAGCGUAAAAUAGGAGCAAGGCUGAAGCAGCGACGCCGCGCGGGUGAUGACGGUCUGCGAGUUGUAAACUACUUUCGGGUAUGUCGAUGCGCUUGUGGUGACGGUAGUGGAAGAAGAAGCACCGGCUAACUACGUG